GGGCAUUUACAAGUAUGGUAAUGAAUGGACAUAUCAAGAGGAUCAUAAUGCCACUUGCCAAGUGAAGACAAUGAUGGAAAUCCUAGUGAGCCUAACCCCGAGCAACCACCAACCGAGGCAUUUGCUGAGCCUCAAGAACCAUCUUUUGGGCUUGCUCACUUGGAUGCUAGGGAACAGCGCCUCAAUGCAUGCAUUGAUGGUCAUUUUCAGACUAUGAGGGAUUACAUGGCAGCUGAAUUCCAGCAGCAACAAUGGAGGUUGUCCGAAGACCUUGAAUGCAUCAUCUUCAAUGUGCGUGCCAGACAUGGCUCAUCCCAACCACCACCUCCUCAAGAAUAGCCUAGAUAGGAUUUUCUAGAGUGUCUAGGGUGUGGGUUUUUGCUUUGGAGAUUAUCUUUUAAUAUUGG
Molecule: long non-coding RNA, 407 nt
Filed under: Lupinus angustifolius (narrow-leaved blue lupine)
Lineage: Eukaryota; Viridiplantae; Streptophyta; Magnoliopsida; Fabales; Fabaceae
Description: long non-coding RNA (LANG_LNC003630)
Source: RNAcentral